AUCAUAAAAUUGGACCAUAAAGCGACCAUGCUAGCAGGUUCAUAUUGAAUAUCAUGGUUGCCAAAAGAGAUAGGGCAUGCCAAUAAACUGUAGUAGGACUUGUGGAGUCCGCCACAUAUUUAGGACAUAUCAAUUAGCUGUAGUAGUCCUCAUGGAGUCUGCCAUGAUUUCAGGACAUAUUAAAGAUGUUGGAUGACUCUUGACAAAAAUGUUGAGAUGAGUUGACCUUUGUAUUGGUUAUGAAAAGGUCACAUAUUACUUUCUCUAAUGUUUUGAUUCCUUAAAAAUUAAUUUCAAGUUUGAACCAACUUAGGGGCUUUAUUGUUUCAGUAAAAGGCUUGACCAAGAUGGGGAGUCUGGA
This 361-nucleotide long non-coding RNA is filed under the name Phoenix dactylifera (date palm). RNAcentral describes it as "long non-coding RNA (PDAC_LNC002733)". The record is from RNAcentral. Lineage: Eukaryota; Viridiplantae; Streptophyta; Magnoliopsida; Arecales; Arecaceae.